GUGUCAGCAGCCGCGGUAAGACGAACCGUGCGAACGUUGUUCGGAAUCACUGGGCUUAAAGGGCGCGUAGGCGGUCUGCCAAGUCCGGGGUGAAAGCCUCCAGCUCAACUGGAGAAGUGCCUCGGAUACUGGCGGACUCGAGCGAGGUAGGGGUCGUGGGAACUUCCGGUGGAGCGGUGAAAUGCGUUGAUAUCGGAAGGAACGCCGGUGGCGAAAGCGCACGACUGGACCUCUUCUGACGCUGAGGCGCGAAAGCCAGGGGAGCAAACGGGAUUAGAUACCCGCGUAGUCC
This 292-nucleotide ribosomal RNA is filed under the name uncultured bacterium. Its description in RNAcentral is "partial 16S ribosomal RNA". It matches the Rfam family "Bacterial small subunit ribosomal RNA", at positions 505 to 796 of the family's 1533-position model. The record is from RNAcentral.